Molecule: non-coding RNA, 2493 nt
Organism: Phoenix dactylifera (date palm)
Lineage: Eukaryota; Viridiplantae; Streptophyta; Magnoliopsida; Arecales; Arecaceae
Source: RefSeq, a predicted model, not a curated record
ACCCAAUUCCCAAGUCAAAAUCAUCGGUCAUUUGCUAGGGUUCUCAACUUCUUGUCUCUUCGCCUCCACCACCACUCCAGUCCCUCAUUGUCGGUCGCCAGUCGUAUGUUCAAGCAAAGCGAAGGUCCUCUCGCCAUUUUUCUAUUGCUCCAUCACCAUGAUGUCUAAUGGCCGACUACAGUUCCAUCACUGUGAUUGGCCCAGCCUGGCUAUCUUCCCAUUAAGCCAUCAGCUGAUGGGGCUAAACCCCACCUCCAUUGCCAGCCCUGCUGCUGCCACCGUCUUUUUGAGCAACAUUGGUGGCUAUAAACUUCAACAUCGUCUUGCUCGUACCAUCAUCGGACUUCCUAGUUGCCACUGCUCCGUCUUCAUUCCAGUGCCGCUCUGAUGUUCGAGCCGGAGCCAGGCCAGCCAAUUCUCAAAAGUGGGACUGAUGGUGGCGGAUGUCAGAGGUUUGGCCGGGGCAAAGAAGGAGAAGUGCUCGGGCUUGGAGUCAAACUUAAGCAUGACCAUUCAAAGUUUCCUUCGUUCAGCAUGCUUAUUGAUUAUUCGUACACAAAAGCCAAAUUUGUUUUAGAAUAUCACAUGGAAGCCCUCCAUAGUCCGUAUGAACAAUUUUGAUCAAAUUCUUCUGUUAUUUGGUUGUUUUCCUAAGUUACUGCAUUUUGUUUCCAGGAACAAAGACUCCAACCUUCUGCGUGAUCCUUUCAAUUCUGCAGUACAAAAUAUGUUUCGCGAUAUGACUUGCAUCUCAGCUCCAGAUGGUGAAGUUCAGAUUCACCAAGAUGACACAUAUAAUUCUUAUUGUAAAUGUCUACUGCAUGUGAAGGCAGGCUUGACCAUCCAUAUGUUGUGAAAUUGGAGGGAUUGAUUACUUCUCAGACGGAUGGCUCCAUAGUAAGGAUUGGCAAGCUUAUUUUAAUUGAGGACAACCGAAAUGUCUAAGUUUAAAGCACCUUGGGUGACAAUUAUCUAUAACCCUUUCUUGAAGAAUAAUAAAGUAACAUCAUUUAUAGAGAAAAUUAUGAGUAAUGCUAACGAACUCUUGUUAUAUGCAUAUAAACAAUUCGCUCACUAUGUGAUGGAAGGGGAUUGAUGCAACUUAUAACUCAUUGGAUUUAUUUUCGAGCACGAGAUUGAUUGAUUAUAGAAUUGUCAAAUCAGAAAUGGUGGAUCCAAUGAUUUUUUUUGUGUAUGCAUAGCGGGUACCUUGAAGCAUUUUCUAAAAGUUAUAAAUCCAAUUAUUACAAGAUAAAGAGUAAUUAAGACAAUAUUACCAAUUUACUAUUUCACACUUCAAGAAAAUGAAGUUCAUGUGGCCUUCUUUAUAUUAUCCAUUUGUAUACCAGAAGCAAAUAAUAGCCUGGCGAAGUUGCCGUGAGGCAAGAAACAUACUAUAAGCUUUGCCUUCUCCAAUGACACACCCUUUUUUAAAUUCAGUUUCUUCUUACCAAAUCUUUCUGCAGGUUCUGAUCCUUGCAAUUAUAUGCAUUGCGCACGGUGAGAAAAACUUUAUUUCUUGAUGUAAUUUAAGCCAUCCUUCAAAAAAUUCUUCUAUUUACAUAUCACAUUUGAUAGCCAAUAUCAGAUAUUUGUUCUAUUUCAAUCAAUCAAUACAUGACAAAUAAUUUGCUUAAAUCCAAUGGCAAAAAUUACCUAAACCGUCAGUCGCAUUUUUUUUUUCUUUGGAGCGUUUUACGUGCUAUAGAUAUGCUUAAUGCAAGUUUAAAUAGUAUGCUUUAACAAUUAUUCAGAAAUAUAAAAUAAAAAAGAAAUUAUUCUCAAUUUGUUUGUGCCAAGAGUCCUUGGGAUUAGGGUUUUUUUUACUCCUAAUUAUAUAUUCUGAUCAUCCAAAAUCCUACUGCUGUCCUGGGAAAAGCUGUGGCCAUAAUUUGGAGAUGGAAAACUAUUUUCAAGAUGUUCUUAGAGUAUUUGAUUUAGUUUUUUCUGCUGGUUCUCAAGAUUUGCAAUAUCAUAGCAAGUCUUUCCGUGGUUUCAAGCUGUUUACCAUUUUGACAUUAGAUGACAAUCCUCGUUGCAUUCUAUGAUUCAUCCUUUAAAAUUGUAACAUGCAAAAUAACUGUGGUAAAACCUAGGAAUGAUAAAUAUUUCAGCAUAUGGCUUUCAAUCCUUGCAGAUCUUAGAACUUUCAGCCAAUUCUCAUUGCCCUACACAGGAAGAAAAAAAAGAGAGGGAGAGAGAAAAGGAAAUUAUGUUGGAGAGCAUAAACAUCCAGUGCCAGCCCACAGAUUAACAGAUCACAUCAUCAUUUUAGCUAGGGGCAUGUUUCAACUCAGUUUUAUUAAAUUUAGAACUUCCCACAAACGUUCCAGUCCAGCAUAACAUUUAAACAUAAGUCCACAGCUUGUGGAUUUAACACCCGAAAAGAAAUUCCUUGCUGAAAAGUAUGAUUGAUUGCGAAUAAUAUUGUUGGGAAGACUACAUAAAGAUCUUAUUAGACAGCAAACAUAGCAUCUAUGCAUCGACAGCAAA